AGGACGAACGCUGGCGGCGUGCCUAACACAUGCAAGUCGAACGAGGUCCAACCAGUAGCAAUACUGGGGAAUACCUAGUGGCGAACGGGUGAGUAACACGUGAGGAACCUGCCCCGAAGACCGGGAUAACGCUCCGAAAGGAACGCUAAUACCGGAUACCUUCACCGGACCGCAUGAUCUGGUGAAGAAAUGGAUUCCGCUUCGGGAGGGUCUCGCGGCCUAUCAGCUUGUUGGUGGGGUAACGGCCCACCAAGGCUUCGACGGGUAACUGGUCUGAGAGGACGAUCAGCCACACUGGGACUGAGACACGGCCCAGACUCCUACGGGAGGCAGCAGUGGGGAAUCUUGCGCAAUGGGCGAAAGCCUGACGCAGCAACGCCGCGUGGGGGAUGAAGGCUCUCGGGUUGUAAACCCCUUUCAGCAGGGACGAUUGUGACGGUACCUGCAGAAGAAGCCCGGCCAACUACGUGCCAGCAGCCGC
Molecule: ribosomal RNA, 481 nt
Filed under: uncultured bacterium
Lineage: Bacteria
Description: SSU rRNA
Rfam family: Bacterial small subunit ribosomal RNA
Source: RNAcentral